GGAUGUGAGGGUGAUCUGGCUGCAACAUCUGUCACCCCAUUGAUCUCCAGGGUUGAUUCAGCUGAUCUGGCUGGCUAGGUGGAUGUCCCCUUCCUCCUUCACUGUUCCACGUGUGUCCCUCCUUAAGCUGGGUGCUUGAUGGCAUGGCCUUCCCUCAAUAGAGACAGAUUGGUCUUUGGUCGAAGGUAUAUGAGUAGCUGUGACCCCCUGCUAGAAUCGAUAAACAAGCUCUCAAGGUCCAUUUGUAGGAGAACAUAGGUAGUCAAGCUUCCAAGACUCCAUUCAGUAAGGCGCUGCACGCAGCAGUCUGCCUUUAAAA
Unclassified non-coding RNA from Erinaceus europaeus (western European hedgehog), 319 nucleotides. Its record names the gene 7SK. It matches the Rfam family "7SK RNA". From Rfam's summary of the family: 7SK was discovered as an abundant small nuclear RNA in the mid-70s but a possible function has only recently been suggested. Two independent studies have found that 7SK RNA binds the CDK9/cyclin T complex (known as elongation factor P-TEFb). Lineage: Eukaryota; Metazoa; Chordata; Mammalia; Eulipotyphla; Erinaceidae. The record is from Ensembl.